RNAcentral lists this long non-coding RNA (852 nucleotides) under Physcomitrium patens. RNAcentral's name for it is "long non-coding RNA (PPAT_LNC006544)". Lineage: Eukaryota; Viridiplantae; Streptophyta; Bryopsida; Funariales; Funariaceae. The record is from RNAcentral.
UCUAUUUACUUCUACCUAUUUAUAUAAGUAAUUACUGACUUAUAUGUGAGUAGCCCUUGUCGUUAUACGUGAAGUCUUGCUUGAAAAUACUUUGGACACCUGACUGUGGAAGGUAGAAUAGAAAUUACCACAAAAAUAUUCGAAUUCUUUUAAAAUACUAACAAUGCCAAACAAGCUUUAUUCAGAUUCAAAAAAUCUCCAAAAGAAUUCCAAUGAAACAAUAAGAAAUCUUAAUGAAAUAGUAGAAUGAUUACAAACAUAUCUCAAAUCUAUCUCAAUUUCAUUCUUAAUUUAAUCCUAGUUGAAAUCUAACUUCAUUUAAACUUUGAGGCAUAAAUAAACUAAAUCUUAAAUUUUAAAUAAACUCUAAUAAAACUCUUAAUUCUAAAAUAAAUCUUGAUUAAAUCUUAAUCUAACUUUAAAUACUAAAUAAAAUACUAAAUCUUAAAUAAAAUCUUGAUCAAACCUUAACCAAACCUUAAACUCCAAACUAUACCUUAAAUCCUAAACUAAAUCUUAAACCCUUAAUCAAAUACUGACCAAAUCUUUAACCCUAAUCCUAAAUCAAAUCUUAACCAAAUCUCAAAUUCUAAACCAAAUCCUUAUCAUAAAUCAAAUUCUAAUCAAUUCCUAAUCAAAUCUUAAUCCUUAAUCAAAUCCUAACUAAAUCCUAAUUUUAAUCUUUAAACUUAAACCAAAUCCUAACCAAAUUCUAACCUUAAAUCAAAUCCUAAAUAAACCUUUAUUCUAAAUCAAAUCCUAAGCAAAUCCUAGUAAUUUCUAGAUUAGAAUUAAACGUCAAUUUCUAAUGAAUGAACUGUUGAUCUUAACUCAAUUUUUUCUCAAUUCUUA